This 74-nucleotide transfer RNA is filed under the name Ipomoea nil (Japanese morning glory). It matches the Rfam family "tRNA". From Rfam's summary of the family: Transfer RNA (tRNA) molecules are approximately 80 nucleotides in length. Their secondary structure includes four short double-helical elements and three loops (D, anti-codon, and T loops). Further hydrogen bonds mediate the characteristic L-shaped molecular structure. tRNAs have two regions of fundamental functional importance: the anti-codon, which is responsible for specific mRNA codon recognition, and the 3' end, to which the tRNAs corresponding amino acid is attached (by aminoacyl-tRNA synthetases). tRNAs cope with the degeneracy of the genetic code in two manners: having more than one tRNA (with a specific anti-codon) for a particular amino acid; and 'wobble' base-pairing, i.e. permitting non-standard base-pairing at the 3rd anti-codon position. The record is from Rfam by way of RNAcentral. Lineage: Eukaryota; Viridiplantae; Streptophyta; Magnoliopsida; Solanales; Convolvulaceae.
GCUCUUGUAGUUCAGUUGGUUAGAGCACCCGUUUAGUAAGCGGGAGGUCUUGAGUUUAACUUUCAACAAGAACA